CUUGUAUUAGCUUGAUUGUGGUUCCUAGCCUUUGAAUGUGAGGCGUAACCAUUUUAAAUUAAUUCUUUCAAGGAGAAAAGAUUUACUUCAACUAAUUCAUGGCCUCUUAAAUUUCUAUUAGAUCCCUUUUCUAUGAGGUUCUUUAUCUCUUAAUUAUUAAGAGUACUUUACAAGUCAACAAUAGUGGAGCAUCUCAGAUGGAAAGGACGAUGGUGAUGUUGGAAACGUUCGAUCGAGUGAAAAGAGAUUUAGAAGAAUUGACAUCUUCUAUGAAAUUGGUCCAAUAAAGGGUCUCCUUGAUUCAAUUAGAGUUUCCCUGCUUUUAAAUCACUGGCAAUUGUGUGGGUUUCAGGCUUGUAGAGACGGGGUUUUUUUUUUCUAGAAACGGUUUUAUGCGAAAGUUUAAAUAUAAGGAGUACAAUAUCAAGGUGAAUCGAAAACUGAAGAUGGUAACAUGAAACUAUAUCAUCGGAAGUGAUCGGCAUCUUUCCCGACAGCAAACCGAAAGAUCUAGAUCUGCUUAUCCCAUUUAUGCCACGUGGAUGAUACAUAGCUCACCGACCUACACAUGUAUCAUAUUUGUAAUCGUAUAGAGUUAUAAAAAUUAUACUCUUUAGAUUUAAUGAAAUAUGAAGUUGACAAAAAAAAUUAAAAUUGUAAUUAUAAUGUUUUAGUGGGAUUUAAAUGUUUUUUUAGAUAUAUAUGUUUG
Molecule: long non-coding RNA, 709 nt
Organism: Brassica rapa (field mustard)
Lineage: Eukaryota; Viridiplantae; Streptophyta; Magnoliopsida; Brassicales; Brassicaceae
Source: RefSeq, a predicted model, not a curated record